GAAUAUAUCAUCAUUAUCAUAACAUCAUUGGGGCAAUAAUAAUAUUAAAACAAUAGCAAAGCUUUUAUUAUGUAGUGCAUACUAAGUGCCCGCCAUUGUUUUAAGUGCUUUUACAUGUAUUAACUUAUUCUACUCUACGAGGUAAACAGUUUUAGCAUUCCAUUUCACAGAUGAGGAAACUGAGGACUAACGAAGUUUAUGAAUAAGCCCCAAAUCAUCUAACAAUUUUACAGAUGCCAAAACCACCAGUAAAUGGAAGAAAUUAACUACUUGAUGAUCAUAAGUAGCCCCUAGACCUUCUGGCACCUAAGGAUUGAUCACCAUCAACCAAUCAGAGAAUUGUACACGAGUACUGUGAUGUACCUUUAUGGAUAAACAAUGACUCAUCAAACUGAGUUGCCUGCCUCAGAACUCCAGCUGUACGGCUUGUGGGCAGGACUUGAACCAGACCUACUAGAGGCUAUCACCCCAAACUGUAUAAUUACCGCAAGUUAAGAGGAAAGAAAAAUGAAUCUCAAAGAUAUCAAAUAACAGACCUAUACUACGAUCUCACAGCUGACAAGAAUCCAACCUAAGAGUCAAACCCUCCAAAUGCUGGGCCUGUUUUUCACAGCAUUUUUUCUCCUUUCAAAGAAUAAGAACAAAGUCACACUGCAUUAGUGACCACAUCUGGCUCUAAGACACUUCCUUUCUGUCAGCAUCAGAAUGAAGAGAGGCAGACGCUAGUGAAGGUCAUCAAUCAUCUGGAAGAAACCCUGAAUGGGGCCCAUUAGCCAUAAAAACAAGAUGUUUUGGGACACCUUUCAGAAAUUCUCUUUCAGUGACCUUCACAAUACAAUGACGACCUUGUCUCUGUUAUCAAAGGACUGUCAGCAAGCACUUAAGGAACUCACCUGCCUGCUAAAAUGCCACACAGACCAAUGGAAAAUUUCCCUCAAUCAGGAGCAGAAUGUCAGGGGCUCCUCCUGAUUCCACAAGAUCGGGAGACAGCCUAGCACAGCUCGGGGGCCGCUGCCUGUCCGUCUGACCUUUGUCAGCAUCGACGUGACCAGCCAUGGUAAGAAUUUAACAAGGAAACCACUAAGGUCCUUCCCCUCUCCAUUGCCUUUGAGAAUACUUAACAUUUUCACUUUCAGCUACAAAAGCAAACCUUUAUUUUAAGGGCAAGUCAUUUCUCCAUAGGAGACUCAGAGAAAGUUGAAAGCCUUCAGUCAACUAAACAAUGUUGGAAUCAACCAUUAUCGGAUAUUAUCCCAUAUGCUUUAUAUAAAUUAUUGCAUUUAAGCCUAUGGAAAAGCACAGGUGAGGAUCCUGGGUUUCUGCGCAUGUAAAUAGUUUAAAAGGCUUGUCCUAGCAUCAGCUGCUAGCUGGGGGUGAGCUCUCUUUCUAUGGUACCAAGUUCCAUCCCAGAAAACCUCCUACAGAGAGUUUAAGGACAAAACACAGACAGGUAGGCAGGAAGUGUCAGGGAACCUGAUGUAACCUAGCAGGACCCUAUGAGGUCUUCCCAGAAAACACCCCCACCCAUGUCCUCCGCCUGCCUUUUGCCUGCAGAAAAACUUUAGUCAAAGAAUAAACUUAGUAAGAGAAAUGAGAAAAUGCAAAAAGAAAGUAAAACAGUCGAGCAAGACAAAAUAAUAAUACUUUAGCCACUAAACAAAGUCAGGACCUUUAGUUCCUCCUCAAGGGCUACAGAUAAUAUUCUGAGCCAUGUCCUUUGAGCUGUUUUGCAGAUGCUGAACCCCCACUCCCCACCCCCGAGGUGGGAGAAGUGAACUGUGUGCUGCCCACGAGCACGCAGACCCCAGACCAGUUGGAACCAGAACGUUAAUGGCGUUGACUCCUGAUGACCUCACCACCAACCAAUCAGAAGAAUGUCCACGAGCUGCUCACACACCCCACAAUUGCCCUCCCUCACCCUGUCUUUAUAAACCUUUCCCUGAAAGCUUUCAGGGAGUUCAGGUCUUUUAAGCACCAGCUGCCCUGGCCUCCUUCCUUGGCGCCCUGCAAUAAAGCUAUUCUUUUCCACUUCACCCAAAACUCUUGAGAUUCAAAUUGAUGCCAAUGUACAGAGGCCGGGUUUCGGCAACACUGAGAAGUGUAGGAUAUCCCAUUCAGCCCCUAAGGAAGUGCAGUCCUACACCCACACCCGCCUCCGCUGUCCUCUUCCCCUUUCUAAAACCACCAUAGACACAGGUCUGGUGAGUUGCGAGGCAGACGGGCAGGGGCCUCAGCAUCGGUGCCCUCAUUCAGCCAACAGCAAGCUGGUGACUCCAAGCAACUGCUUACCCUCUCUGGGCCUCAAUUUACACAUCCAUAAAGGGGGGGCUUUGAACAAGAUAUCUGCCAGACUCCAUAGUUCUAAUACCCUCUGAGUUUAUCAUCCUCAGAUGGUUAUAACAACACUAUAGGUUGACAUAAAAUAUUAAAUUGCCUUAUUCAAUAAUUAAUGAAUGGAAAUGAAUUAGCGGUGAUGUGUUAUUUUCUCAAUAACCUUUGAGCCAAUUCACUGAGAAUUAGAGAAGUGUCAAACUCAGAAUACAGACUUUUACACCACAAAUUGUUCCUGCUUUGGGGAGGGCAAAGGUAAAUAUCAACUAAUACUUUUAUCAUGUUCUACAGUUUAUAUAAUCCACAUAUAUUCUGUUAUUAAAUCUCCACCAGUCUUUGAAAUAGACAUUAAUGUUCCCAGUUAACAUUAUUAAGACCCAGAAAGUAUAAAUGAGUUUGCCCAGAGGGGACAGGGCUAGUAGGUGGCAAAGCCAGGACCAAAAUCCUUGCCUUGCCAUUCCAAAUCUCAUGUUCUUUACACAUGCACACAUUUUCUUUAGAGUAACAGUCAGUAGAAUCCAUUUUCACCCAAUGAAUUAAAAUUCAACAUGUACCCUCAAAGACAUCACUAGAUCUAUUCGGAAUAUGACAUUUCUGAAUAGUCUGAAGUUAAUUAUUUGUUAUGCGUCCCUAAAGUUCCAGCUUUUCAUUUUAUAAAAGCAAACAUGAGGGCUUCCCUGGUGGCGCAGUGGUUGAGAAUCUGCCUGCCAAUGCAGGGGACACGGGUUCAAUCCGUGGUCUGGGAAGAUCCCACAUGCCGCGGAGCAACUAGGCCCGUGAGCCACAACUACUGAGCCUGCGCGUCUGGAGCCUGAGCUCUGCAAGAGAGGCCGUGAUAGUGAGAGGCCCGCGCACCGUGAUGAAGAGUGACCCCCGCUUGCCGCAACUGGAGAAAGCCCUCACACAGAAAUGAAGACCCAACACAGCCAAAAAUAAAUAAAAUAAAUUAAUUGAAAAUCACAGCCGAAUUAAAAAA
Molecule: long non-coding RNA, 3307 nt
Organism: Orcinus orca (killer whale)
Lineage: Eukaryota; Metazoa; Chordata; Mammalia; Artiodactyla; Delphinidae
Exons: 3
Source: RefSeq, a predicted model, not a curated record